CACACGGAGAGCGCAUGUGUUACACACACAAAGAAGUUAGUAAUAAAAAAUCCUCAAUUUGUUCGAAGUUCUGAAGUUGCUCCAAUAUUUCUUGAUUUUAAAAGUUCUAACAAUCAUAAAAAGUGACAAAAUCGCAACACGAGCCGACGAUAAUAAUGAUAGUGUACCGCAUUUUCACUGCAUCAAAAUGUCGAAGUACCACGUCCUGCGAUACCGGAUAACUUUCCAUCGUUUUUCGACCACCAGUUUGUUGAGACGGAAAUGGUUAAUCUUUUUCGGAUACAAAAGCUCGCUCUAUACGCCAAACAUAUUUGUUUAUUCGCUUCAUUUUUCGCCGGAUUCUUUUGGGGAUACUGUUUUAACCAAUAAUCUGCAAAUAAGACGUCUUCGUACUGGAGCUAUCCCAUGCAUUCGUUCCUUGGAUCGAAAACGGGAACGACACUGCCUCGAUAUAACCUUUCCACACAUAUGUUCAACGGUUUUUUGCAUUAUUUUUUAAUAAAAUUGCGAUAAUUCGACUGUUUUCAAUUUUAAAAUUGUUAAGCAAACUGCUAUUUCAUCAUUUCGAAACAUAUUCUGAGACAGUUCUUGUGUUAUAAUUUAAAAAAAUUGAAAACAUUCGAGGGCUUGUAUUCGAGACACGACCGCUUAGGACGUAGGACUUCGCAAUCUUUUUUUUU
Molecule: long non-coding RNA, 680 nt
Organism: Toxorhynchites rutilus septentrionalis
Lineage: Eukaryota; Metazoa; Arthropoda; Insecta; Diptera; Culicidae
Exons: 3
Source: RefSeq, a predicted model, not a curated record